UAGUCCACGCUGUAAACGAUGAUCACUCGAUGUACACGCUAGUCGUGUGUGUCCAAGCGAAAGCAUUAAGUGAUCCACCUGGGGAGUACGCUCGCAAGAGUGAAACUCAAAGGAAUUGACGGGAGUCCGCACAAGCGGUGGAGCAUGUGGUUUAAUUCGAUAAUACGCGAGGAACCUUACCUGGGCUCGAAUGUCUCUGCUACCUCGAGAAAUCGAGGGUUCCUUCGGGACAGAGUACAAGGUGCUGCAUGGCUGUCGUCAGCUCGGGUCGUGAGAUGUUGGGUUAAGUCCUAUAACGAGCGCAACCCCUUUACUUAGUUGCCAGCACAUCAUGGUGGGACUCUAAGUAUACUGCCUACGUAAGUAGGAGGAAGGAGGGGACGAGGUCAAGUCAUCAUGGCCCUUACGCCCAGGGCUACACACGUGCUACAAUGGCGUGUACAGAAGGAGGCUACUUGGUAACAAGCGGCAAACCCUCAAAGCACGUCUCAGUUCGGAUUG
This 501-nucleotide ribosomal RNA is filed under the name uncultured bacterium. Its description in RNAcentral is "bacterial SSU rRNA". It matches the Rfam family "Bacterial small subunit ribosomal RNA", at positions 791 to 1300 of the family's 1533-position model. The record is from RNAcentral.